CCUACGGGAGGCAGCAGUGGGGAAUAUUGGACAAUGGGGGGAACCCUGAUCCAGCCAUGCCGCAUGUGUGAAGAAGGCCCUCGGGUUGUAAAGCACUUUCAGUGAGGAAGAACGCCUGGUGGUUAAUACCCAUCAGGAAAGACAUCACUCACAGAAGAAGCACCGGCUAACUCCGUGCCAGCAGCCGCGGUAAUACGGAGGGUGCGAGCGUUAAUCGGAAUUACUGGGCGUAAAGCGCGCGUAGGUGGCUUGAUAAGCCGGUUGUGAAAGCCCCGGGCUCAACCUGGGAACGGCAUCCGGAACUGUCAAGCUAGAGUGCAGGAGAGGAAGGUAGAAUUCCCGGUGUAGCGGUGAAAUGCGUAGAGAUCGGGAGGAAUACCAGUGGCGAAGGCGGCCUUCUGGACUGACACUGACACUGAGGUGCGAAAGCGUAGGUAGCAAACAGGAUUAGAUACCCUUGUAGUC
Molecule: ribosomal RNA, 465 nt
Filed under: Vreelandella stevensii
Lineage: Bacteria; Pseudomonadati; Pseudomonadota; Gammaproteobacteria; Oceanospirillales; Halomonadaceae
Description: partial 16S ribosomal RNA
Rfam family: Bacterial small subunit ribosomal RNA
Source: RNAcentral